Long non-coding RNA from Apis cerana (Asiatic honeybee), 2087 nucleotides. RefSeq lists it as uncharacterized. Lineage: Eukaryota; Metazoa; Arthropoda; Insecta; Hymenoptera; Apidae. The record is from RefSeq and is a predicted model, not a curated record.
AAGAUUCGAAAUUAAUUGCGUAUGUGCGGAAACGUGAAAACGCAAUAUGGCGAAUAAUUUUUCUCUCGUGUCUAUACCGCUAUAUAAAUCAUGGCAAACUGUUCGAAAGUAAUUCGCCAAUAAGAAUAACAGCUCGGAAUGGUGAAUAUCGAAAACACGCCAUCGGCGAGCAUCCCGCAAUUUGCAUUUCUGAUACGACCGCGAUAUACCACGCGAUGUAACCGGUAAAAAGAGAGAUGAGAAAUUGGAAACGGUUACACUCCUGACGUCCCUUCCUGCCCCUGUGUAAUAUUUUACAAUGCCUCGCCGGGGACAAGGUGUUCGAAGUCUGUGCACGUUCGUGGUAGAGAAGAGAAAAAGAAAAAAGAAUAGUUUGGUUUUAAACGAGAACAGUGCCUUCUUUCGAUCGUGUAGUUUUAGUUUACUUUUAUUUGUGGUGAAGUGUAUGUAUUUCUAAAAAUGAUUUUCAUUUAUCUGUUGAAACACCAGCCAUGUGGAAAAUGGAUAUCAGAGCAGAGUGUGGAUCGGACGAGAGAUCGUGUCACGAGGGGGUUCGGUGAAUUCGAGGACUGGAAUCGAGUCCGCCACAACUCGGUAACAAGUUUUACACACGUGUUCUAACUUCCAGAGCUUCGACCCUGGAAAGAUACGUUAUGAAUGUAUUAAUAACACCCUGUAUAUAUUAUGGCAACCGUGUGAGGCCAUGUGUAUCCGAUUUCGCGAGAACCGUGCUCGCUUCACGUUUCACGGAAUACGGAAUAUCAAAGGGGGAAUAGAGAUGUUCACUGUCCGGACGGUAAUAAUGCAUAACGCUUCACGCGUUGGAUUAAUCUUGGAGAAAUAACAUAUUCAUAUUUCUCGAUUUUUCUCGAUAGUGGAUUAUGAACGACGAGGGAUGGAAGAAAAAAUCGAUCGAUCAGCGAAAUAUGUCGUACAAGCAACGUUAGAUUGUGUUAAACUUCUCGUUAAUUAUUCGAUAUUUGCGACGUUGAUGGUAUUAUAAAGUUGGGCUCGGCACGAAGAUUGUGUGUGUAAAAGGAAAAAAAAUUGAAAGGUUGGUGGACAAUAAAGGGAUGUUAGUUUUGGAGGGACUAAUGUACCGAUGAUUGACCGAUCAGAAAACGUGGCACAAUUUGUCAAAUAAAUACAAUGUUUGCACCGCGUAUCGUUUCACCAUGAAAAUUGAUGAUGUGUAACAAGAGACCCACGAUUGUUUAAUAUUCAUCUCGUCGAGAAAAUUGAUCGGCCUCUUCCCGAUGAUCGGUUUACUUUCCGCUCAUACAGUUCCAACGAUUACCAAAAAUUCUUAUAUUAAACUGUUAUUUUCAAUUCUACGUUUAUUAGCAGAAAAUUUCUGCUAAUAAAUUUUCGAUUCUCCUUUUAUAAAAACUUCUUAUAAAUUAUGAUAGGAUGUGAAACAUUCAUUUCUUUUAAUAAUGAUUCAAAAAUCAGAAUCUUGUAGUCAAAAGGGGAAAGAAGUAAAAAAAAGUUAUUAUCAACUGCCAGUCGCGAUGAAAAUAAUUCAUCGGGAAAAGAUAAAAAGGAACGAUGUCGAGGGGGGAGGGGAAUGUUUCGUUUGAAAUCAGGACGCGCCUCAUAAAUUGAUACCGACGAAAAUUUGAGAGAAAUAUUAAAAUUUCAUUGUAUCCUUCGUUGAAGUUUGCGCCUCCAGUCUCGUCGCACUUUUAUUUCCUUUCAGAUUCCCUCUAAUAUUUUAUAGAGUAUCCUCCUCCUUGCAUUUUUCGAAAUAAAUAUCCACCCGCCAAGCAACGAUAUUAAAUUCGCAUACUAGCCCGUUUUUAUUUAACUAGACAGUCAAGUCCCCUGAUUCCAAUGGUGAAUAUUUCGCUAACAAAAUUACCUCUCCUUUCGAAUCUUACCUAUAAAAAUCCGAAUGCGAAUGUUCGAGCAUUUCGAACCUUUUUCCCUUCUAUCUUUUUCAACGAUAUAUUUUUAAUAUCAAAUGAUAACAUUAAUUGUUACACACUUGCGGAUCAAAACGAGAAUUUAAUAAUUUUUGGAGAAACAUAUCUCUUGGAAACGUUAUCGAUUGUUAAUUUUUCAUCAGAAAAAAUAUUUUAAAAAUU